RNAcentral lists this ribosomal RNA (494 nucleotides) under uncultured bacterium. RNAcentral describes it as "partial 16S ribosomal RNA". It matches the Rfam family "Bacterial small subunit ribosomal RNA", at positions 28 to 507 of the family's 1533-position model. The record is from RNAcentral.
GACGAACGCUGGCGGCGUGCUUAACACAUGCAAGUCGAACGGAAAGGCCUGCUUUCCCUUGUGGAUUGCGGGUGCUCGAGUGGCGAACGGGUGAGUAACACGUGAGUGAUCUGCCCCCAACUUGGGUAUAAGCCUGGGAAACUGGGUCUAAUUCCCGAUAGGACUGCAGGGUGGUGCCUGUGGUGGAAAACGAUUUUCUAGUGGUUGGGGAUGAGCUCGCGGCCUAUCAGCUUGUUGGUGGGGUAAUGGCCUACCAAGGCGGCGACGGGUAGCCGGCCUGAGAGGGUGGACGGCCACAUUGGGACUGAGAUACGGCCCAGACUCCUACGGGAGGCAGCAGUGGGGAAUAUUACACAAUGGGCGGAAGCCUGAUGCAGCGACGCCGCGUGGGGGAUGACGGCCUUCGGGUGGUAAACUCCUUUCGACCGCGAGGAAGCCACCUGGUUGGAAGGGUGGUGACGGUAGUGGUAGAAGAAGCACCGGCUAACUACGUG